This 407-nucleotide ribosomal RNA is filed under the name uncultured bacterium. RNAcentral describes it as "partial 16S ribosomal RNA". It matches the Rfam family "Bacterial small subunit ribosomal RNA", at positions 30 to 526 of the family's 1533-position model. The record is from RNAcentral.
AUUGAACGCUGGCGGCAGGCCUAACACAUGCAAGUCGAGCGGAGCGGCGGACGGGUGAGUAAGGCCUAGGAAUCGGCCUGGUAGUGGGGGAUAAAGUCCGGAAACGGGCGCUAAUACCGCCUACUAUCACAUGAGUAUAGGUCGGAUUGGCUAGUUGGUGGGGUAAAGGCCUACCAAGGCGACGACCCGUAACUGGUCUGGGAGGAUGAUCAGUCACACUGGAACUGAGACACGGUCCAGACUCCUACGGUAGGCAGCAGUGGGGAAUAUUUGACAAUGGGCGAAAGCCUGAUCCAGCCAUGCCGCGUGUGUGAAGAAGGUCUUCGGAUUGUAAAGCACUUGCAGUUGGGAGGCGUUACCAACAGAAUAAGCACCGGCUAACUUCGUGCCAGCCGCCGCGGUAAUAC